CACGUGGUAAAGGACUUGGUGGUUGGUACCCAAAAUUUCAAGUUUGAAUUCUAGUUAAUUUAUAUUUUUAGCUAAAUUUAUUUCUAAAUGAAAUAAACGAAGCGGGUAGCGUGCUUCCUAUCUCUCUCAAAAAAAAAAAAGGAAAAAAAGAGAGAGACCAACUGUCCCUAAAACAAAUGGCAAAGGGCUUGGUGGUUGGUACCCGAGACCUAAGUUCGAAUCCUGAUUGAUUCACAUUUUUAGCUAAGCUUAUUUCUAAAUGAAAUAAACGAAGCGGNNNNNNNNNNNNNNNNNNNNNNNNNGGGUGAGUGCAGAUUUUGUAUGUGGGCUGUGGUUUCGAACGGUAGCGUGCUUCUAUCCUCUCUCAAAAAAAAAAAAAAAAACUUUCUGUAAUUUAUUAGCAAUAUAGUUUAUUAUUAUAACAGGAAAAACUUCCAAUACCACUACUGUGUUUCACAACUUCUCUCUUAGUAAACCGCCUGCAUAAAUUAACUGUCCGUAAUGCUUUAAUUUUUCCUUUUUAUAUCAAUUUCAUUAUUUUUUUUAUUAAUCAGUGACAGAUUAAAACUAAAGGUACUAAAGUGAUUCAAUAAACCUAGGUAGGAUAUCUGAAUUUUUUGUAUAUAAUUUACGAAAUAUUAAACCAAAAAGAUAACGAAAAGAUAAAAUGAAACGCAUAGGGAAUCUAACUGAUACACUUAGAACCGACAGGUCACUAAAUUGAGAAAAAAUGCGAAACUACAAGUGGGUAUUUGAAGUUUUAUCCUUUAAUAAAAUGAUAGUCUCAAUAAAAAGCAAUAACAAUGUAUAACACCGCAAGUUGUAUAAAACACCUCUUAGCUUAGACUUUGUCAAUAUCGCCCAAAACUUUAUUCCCGUACCUAAACUCUCUAAACAUUAUACUUUUAAAUUAAUAGUUUAGUGACCUAUCACCUCUCAAAUGAAAUUACUAAUUACAUAGCCCAUGUUGUGCAUAUUUUGAUUUUCCAAAGUUCAAAACACGAAAAAAAAGUAAGGAGAAAAAAAAAGCAUCUCCUACUCUUCUUCAACUGAUAAAAUAAACACAAAAAUUGAAAUAAGCUGAAACUAAUCUUAAUUUUUAUUAUAUUUUCAUAUCUUGAAAUAGAAAAAGAUAGAUAUUUGAUGUACUAUUUUAUAAAGUUUUAUCAAUUCAACAAAUUACAUUUGUCAUACUGAAAUUUAAAAUUACUAACUUUUCUAUUUUAUACAUAUAUAUAUAUAACAUAUAUAUAUAUAUAUAUAGAGAGAGAGAGAGAGAGAGAGAGGAGCUAGAAUAUUAUUAAUAGUAUAUGAGUAUUGUUUGCCAUUUACUUUUACAUUAACAUGUGGGAUUAGGUGAAAUAGUUAUAAUCCAAUGGUGGAGAAAUUAAUAAAAGAUAAUAUUUAUUUACUACCAAUAGCAUUUCAGGUGGGGGCACUCUUUCUCUCCCUCUUUCUAUUUAAUGUACUUUUCCAUGAAUUCAAACAAUCCUUUUGAAUUUUUUUGUAUUAAAAAAUAGCAUUCUGAUAUGGGAUAAAAGUAAUCUUCCGGUGAGUGGAACGUAAAAUUUAUACGCUUUUGGAUUUAUAGAUAGUAUUACUCUAUAAUAAUCAUCAAUGAGUAUAUAUAUAGAGCUAAGCUGCCAUAUUAUCGGUCGCACAGAGGUUUCCGUGCUAUCAAAUUAUUCUCAGUGAUAUGACCUUCAAAUCAACGAUUAACUCCGUUAGAUUUAAUCGAUACUAUUGAAAGUAUUUGAAAACUAAAUAUUUUUAAUAAAAUAGAUCAUGUCUAGCAAUGCUGAUCAUCGAUUCAGAAGCCGUAUCAUUGAAAACAAUCGGUAGCACGGAGGCCUUCGUACUACCUAUUGUAUAGUACUAGACUCUCUCUCUCUCUCUCUCUCUCUCUAUAUAUAUAUAUAUAUGUGGAAUGUGGAUAGAAUAUUAUUGAUAGUGUGAAAAUAAUUUGGUAUCUAUUUUUUAAUCACCGAAUGCUUAGGAUUAAAUGGUUGUGGGUGAAAUAAUAGUAAUCCAUGAAAAUGUAAGUUAUGAAAUUGCCCCUAAUACUAUACUAGAUUAACUCAUAUAUGAAUGGUAGGUGACAAUAUAUCCAUUCAAAAAGACGCACUCAAUAGAACAAAAUUGUCUUUCUGGAUAUGUUUCUAAAAGAUGGAAAAGAAGAAGAAGAAGAAAAUUUUGCUUCCUAUCUCCAGCUUCUAGACUUGGCAUUUCCGUGCAUUAAAAUGGUCUUUUUCAACCUUCAAAUCUCUUGCCCCACAAGUCAUAUUUUCGGCUCUGCUUUUCUAACACUAGCAAUUACAUAAUUGAAGCGUCGUUGGUCAAAUAAUAAAAAAUUUGGAGAAAAUAAACAAGACCAAGAAAGUCUAGAAGCUGAUUCCGAUUGACACUAAAAUGUGGAUAGCCUUAAUUCUGAAUAAAAAAAAAAAUGCUAACUCUACAAACUUAGAGGCUUUAUAAUCUUUACAACCUUCCAAACUUAUGGCCAAAAAUAUUUAUUUAAAAGAUUCUUUUGAUUUUCAAUAAAAAAAAAAUGACGAGACAAAUUCUCACAACUUGGCCCUUAGAUCACCAAGCUGUAAGAUUACAACUCGAAAAGGGUUGUAGCUCGAAUAGAAUAUAUUGCAAUAUGGUGAAAAUUGCACUUCUAGUCCUAAACCUUUUGUUGGGAAGCGUGAUUUUUUCUGAUACUAAUUGUUGGAACCAGUAUUUAUUCUAAUACCGAUUAUAUAACUCAAGAUCUAAAAUAGAGCAAAAUAAUAUGGAGAAGAGAUAUUGGAGGAGAGAGAUGAUACCUAAACUAAUACUUUAUUAAUAAAAAAUAAUUAAUUACAUUCUGAGCAACACCUAUGCAACCAUGUCUAUUAUGGCUUAUUUUCUAAUUAAGCCAUACCUAACUAUAUAUAGCCAUCAAAUUAUAACAUAUGAUAAAUCUGAUUUUACUUUGGAUAAGUACAUAUCCUAACCAUAAUCAAAUAAAAGAUUUAAACUUAUCUAUAACUAUAUUUUAAUUAAGUUUGGAUUAUUAUUUCCAACAUCCUCCCUUAAUCCAAACUUAGCCGCUCUUGAACUCUGUGAAACGCACACUUUGAUUUUGCAAUUUCUGUCGCUGUUGUUGUCGUCGUGUUCGAGUUGUGCAACAUGACGCCUGUCCAAUGAUGUUGCCAUGGUUGAAAUCUUUGCCAUCUGUAGUCUUGAUUAUUCACAUCAUCCUUAAAGAUCUGCGGAUUCCUACAAAUAUCUUGAAAAACAUAUAAUUUUGAAAAAAUUGGAUUGAUAUGAAUUUUGUGAUUUUGAGGUAACCGAGGAGAGUUUGAUCGACGCGAAUAUUUGUUCAAUGCAUUGAUCUUGAUUUGUGCAUUUUCAUCUUCGAACACAUCAAAAUAAUAGUAAACUUUCUCCCUAUUUUGCUGCAUAAUUUCUUCAUCAACAGAAAUUUCUUUAAUCAUAUCGUCAUUUUGAACUUUUUCGUCGAUCUGAAUUGCACCGUUUUGAUCAUCAACAUACUCUUCACAAAUAUGAUCUUCUUCAUAAUUUUGAUCAGACUUUUCUUUCCAAAAUUCUUCGCAAAUUAGGGCUUCAGUAUCUUCACUAUUGGGUUGAAUUUCUUUUUUUUCUUGAAUUUCAUUCUCUUCCUGCAAAUCUUCUCCUUCAGUUUUCGAUAGUAUUCUCCACGCUUCUCGUGCCGUCUUUAUCAUUGAAAUUUUUGCAACCAACGAUAGAUCUACUGCUUGAAAAAUAUAUGAUAGAACUUCUCUGUCUCUCUUUUUAAAUUCGUCUUUACCAAAUUCUUUUUCAUAAUUUCUAUUCUCCACUACAUCCCACAAAUCUUGGGAUUCUAAAAAUCAUUGAAUAAUGAUUUUUCAUCGUUUAAAGUUCGUUCCAUCGAACUUUGGUAAGCCAGGUUGAAUAAACCAAUUAUCUAAAUCCAUAAUAAAGACUUGAAAAUCUGAAAAAUAAGUUUCGGAUUUGUACCUUUCUGUUUGGAUGACGUUCUUAUUUCAUCGAGAUCUCGCCAAAUUUUCUAUAUUUCGGCUUGCUUGCCUAGCCCUCUUGGCUAUCUGGUCAAGUCUUCUUGGAUCUCUUCAGGGGCGCUCCUCGCUCUCUUUUUGUCCAGCGUCACAACCACCUGCUGUCAUGUGUUGUGCGGAGGCCAAUUUCUUCAAAGCAAUUCCUUCGCUUUGGUUUUACCUGAACGUCACCUUGUUAAUCAACUAUGAGUCGCUUGACUUUGACAUAGCAAUCCGGUACAUUGGAUUUAUAUUCUUUUCGAAUAUGCUGUCAUCUGGUUUAUAAAUUGCAUGAUACUUCCCAGCUCUGAUACCAAUUAUUGAGAAGCGUGAUUUUCUCUGAUACCAAUUGUUGGAACCGGUAUUUAUGCCGAUACCGAUUAUAUAACCCAAGAUCUAAAAUAGAACAAAAUAAUAUGGAGAAGAGAUAUUGGAGGAGAGAGAUGAUACGUAAACUAAUACUUUAUUAAUAAAAAGCAAUUAAUUACAUUCUGAGCAAUACCUAUGCAGUCAUGUCUAUUAUGGCUUAUUUUCUAAUUAAGUCAUACCUAACUAUAUAUAGCCAUCAAAUCAUAACAAAUGAUAAAUCCAAUUUUACUUUGGAUAAGUACAUAUCCUAAUCAUAAUCAAAUAAAAGAUUUAAACUUAUCUAUAACUAUAUUUUAAUUAAGUUUGGAUUAUUAGUUCUAACACCUUUUAGUCAAGUUUCUUUUUGGUCCUCAAACCUUGAUUUCGAUAUCCGAAGGUUUAGUUUAAUCCUAAAAUGUAGUAAGAAGUCUUUUUAUUUAGUCCUUAUUAUCUCCAUUAAAAUUGUUUGUUUCUACUUAGUUACUUCGUUUGUUGCUACACUACAAAUUUUUAUUUUUUCAUUUAUAUCAUAUUAUUAAUUCAGAGGCUCGUCAACACUUCAAAUUAUACAUGGAGAAAAAUUGUAACUUAUUAAGGAAUUGUAGGUUGAAAAUGUGCAAUAAAAAAGAUAGCCCAUAAGUACUUGGCAUAUAAAUAGAUACAAUAGAAAUAGAUAAUAAUCUAUUAUCUUAAUAUAAUAUAUAUAUAUAUAUAUAGUGUAUAUAUAUAUAUAAAUUAUAAUAUAUAUAUAAUAUAUAUAUAUAUAAUAUUAGUAUAUAUAAUAUAUUAUAAUAUAUAUUAUAUAUAUAUAUAUUAUACUAAGCUAAAAUGUACGUGCAAAUGAGCAUAAUAUUAUUAGAAAAAGUUUAUAAUAAUUUUUAAAAUUAUUUUUUAAUUUUAGACCAUAUUUUAUAUGAAUUGGCAAAUAUGUAUCUGUAAAAAAUUUACAAUAAUAAAUCACGCUAUUAAGAAAGAGUAUACUUUAAAUGAUAAUAACUUAACAAAAUCUCUACAUGCAAAAAUUAAUUUUAAAUAUAAAAUCAAAAAAUAAAUCUGUUAGAAUAAAUUUUGAAAAUUAAUAGAAAAAUACAUUCGUGUAUCUUAAAAACAAAUAUAUUUUAAUUAAAAAGACUAAUAUCUAAAAAAAUAUUUUAAAUAAAAAUGGAAAAUCUUUAUAGAAUUUAUACACGCCACGUAAUCUUUAUAGAAAACUUAUCUUUGAAAUUAAUAAAAAAAUUUUAUAUUUUAGAAAUUUUCUCAUCAAUAAUCUUAGUCUAUAGAAACUUAUGUUAUUUCAUUGUGUUUCAUUUCUAUUUUUAUCUUAUAUUAAAAUUUUUCGUUAACGGAAAAGAAAAUGGGCCUAAUAUUUUCCGCGAAAAAUAGGGUCUGUUCGACAAACCUAAAUUUGAAUAUAGCGUGCUUUAUAUAUAGUAUACGAUAUAUAUAAGAAUCUAAAGUAAACCUUUAAAAUGAAUUUUUAUCAACUUGAGAUCUAAUUGGAGUAGGGAAAAAUUUUGUUCCGGUAUCUUUUGCCUAUCCUCUGUAAGAUUUAUUAGUCUAGCACACGUUAGGAACCUCUUUUUUAAGGACAUAGAAAUUUGGUGGAUAUAUCACGCUUAAAAAAAAUCAAAAUCAACAAUAAUGUAAUUAAGGUUCCAAUUAAAACAUAUAACAUGCUAUGCAUUACAUUCACAAAUAUCCAAAAUUUAAAAAAUAUUCCAGUUUAUACAUGAUCAGCAACAUCCAAUGAGUAACAAGCAUCAGCAAUUAAUAAGUCAAAAAAAAGAAAAAGUUUUUGCUUGGCUAUUAAGUAUAACCAAUGCGCAAUGUACAUUAAUAUGAUAAAAGUAAUAGUAAUACUAUAUUAUUAUAGCUAAUAUAUAUAUUAUAAUAUAUAUAUGAAUUAGGCUACCAUAUUCACUAUCUAUAGUACGAAGUUCGAAUACUAUAGUGUUGUUUUGCGAUCUUAGGGUGUUCAAAAUGCAACGAUCCACCACCGUUAAAUAUGAUCUAAGGGUAUAAUGAAUUCUCCUUAGGAAUAAAAUUUUAUUUUUUUUCGAUAUCGUUUACUUAGUAAAUAAAUUAUAUCAAAAUGGACGGUGGAAAUUGAAUAAUCUUUAAAAUUUGAGCAUAGGACUUUUAAAUUCAAGAUCAAGAAUGUUAACCUUAAUCUAUAUAGUUUAAAGUAUUUUCUAUCAAAAUUUGAAGAAAUUUAGAUGCUUCUACACCGUUAAACCCCAAACUCGUCAUAAUAGCCAUUGAAAAUUGACAAUUUUGAAAUAGUUUGAUCAUAAAAUAAACUAUGUCGAAAAAAUAUAAAAUUUUAUUUCUAGAAACUUUAAAUACCCUAGAUCAGUUUUAACGGUAUGGAUCGUUGAUUUGAACGUCCUAAGAUCGAAAACCAACACUAUAGUACUGGAGCUCGGUGCUAUAGAUAGUAUAGUAGCCUAGCUAUAUAUAUAUAUAUACAUUAAAUUAUAGCAUCAGUAUAAUUUAUAAGGGUCAAUCGUAAGAUUUCACGCGAAUAAAAUCGAAAGGUGUAGGUCUCACAUUGUUUCAACCAAUACAAAAACAUUUUUUACCGACCGUCACUAGAACAAGUGGUAAAGGACUUGGUGGUUGGUACCCGAGACCUAAGUUCGAAUCCUAGUUGAUUCACAUUUCCAGCUAAGUUUAUUUCUAAAUGAAAUAAACGAAGCGAGUAACGUGCUAUCUAUCUCUAAAAAAAAAAAACACAAAAACAUUUUUUAAGGAAUGAUUUUAUAACUAUCCCUCAAAAUCUUGAAAAUAUCACAAAUACCCUCCAAAAUAUUAAAAUAUCAC
RNAcentral lists this long non-coding RNA (7196 nucleotides) under Ananas comosus (pineapple). Its description in RNAcentral is "long non-coding RNA (ACOM_LNC041752)". The record is from RNAcentral. Lineage: Eukaryota; Viridiplantae; Streptophyta; Magnoliopsida; Poales; Bromeliaceae.